GCCGGCGGGAAAACAGGUAGAACCGCAGGACUUAAAAUCCUGAGCUCCUCCGGGGGCGUGUGGGUUCAAUUCCCACCCUCGGCA
RNAcentral lists this transfer RNA (84 nucleotides) under Elusimicrobia bacterium RIFOXYA1_FULL_47_7. RNAcentral's name for it is "tRNA-Leu". It matches the Rfam family "tRNA". From Rfam's summary of the family: Transfer RNA (tRNA) molecules are approximately 80 nucleotides in length. Their secondary structure includes four short double-helical elements and three loops (D, anti-codon, and T loops). The record is from RNAcentral. RNAcentral also lists the same sequence under 6 other names. Lineage: Bacteria; Pseudomonadati; Elusimicrobiota.